CUGCCUGGCGCAGGGCCUGUAG
RNAcentral lists this microRNA (22 nucleotides) under Rattus norvegicus (Norway rat). Its description in RNAcentral is "rno-miR-6318". Lineage: Eukaryota; Metazoa; Chordata; Mammalia; Rodentia; Muridae. The record is from miRBase by way of RNAcentral.